GCACUAAUAGUUUAGUGGCAGAAUAGCAGCUUCCCAAGCUGUUGGUCCGGGUUCGAUUCCCGGUUGGUGCA
RNAcentral lists this transfer RNA (71 nucleotides) under Coemansia sp. BCRC 34962. RNAcentral describes it as "tRNA-Gly". It matches the Rfam family "tRNA". From Rfam's summary of the family: Transfer RNA (tRNA) molecules are approximately 80 nucleotides in length. Their secondary structure includes four short double-helical elements and three loops (D, anti-codon, and T loops). Lineage: Eukaryota; Fungi; Kickxellomycota; Kickxellomycetes; Kickxellales; Kickxellaceae. RNAcentral also lists the same sequence under 1 other name. The record is from RNAcentral.